UGUAGUUUCUAAGACGAUGCUGAC
RNAcentral lists this microRNA (24 nucleotides) under Glycine max (soybean). RNAcentral describes it as "gma-miR4396". The record is from miRBase by way of RNAcentral. Lineage: Eukaryota; Viridiplantae; Streptophyta; Magnoliopsida; Fabales; Fabaceae.